AUUGAACGCUGGCGGCAUGCCUUACACAUGCAAGUCGAACGGUAACAGGUCUUCGGAUGCUGACGAGUGGCGAACGGGUGAGUAAUACAUCGGAACGUGCCUAGUAGUGGGGGAUAACUACUCGAAAGAGUGGCUAAUACCGCAUGAGAUCUACGGAUGAAAGCAGGGGAUCGCAAGACCUUGUGCUACUAGAGCGGCCGAUGGCAGAUUAGGUAGUUGGUGGGAUAAAAGCUUACCAAGCCGACGAUCUGUAGCUGGUCUGAGAGGACGAUCAGCCAGACUGGGACGGGGAAACGGCCCAGACUCCUACGGGAGGCAGCAGUGGGGAAUUUUGGAAAAUGGGCGAAAGCCUGGUCCAGCAAUGCCGCGUGCAGGAUGAAGGCCUUCGGGUUGUAAACUGCUUUUGUACGGAACGAAAAGCCCCGGGUUAAUACCCUGGGGUCAUGACGGUACCGUAAGAAUAAGCACCGGCUAACUACGUGCCAGCCGCCGCCGUAA
This 498-nucleotide ribosomal RNA is filed under the name uncultured bacterium. Its description in RNAcentral is "partial 16S ribosomal RNA". It matches the Rfam family "Bacterial small subunit ribosomal RNA", at positions 30 to 523 of the family's 1533-position model. The record is from RNAcentral.